GAUGAACGCUGGCGGCGUGCCUAAUACAUGCAAGUCGAGCGAACAGAUGAUGAGCUUGCUCCUCUGACGUUAGCGGCGGACGGGUGAGUAACACGUGGAUAACCUACCUAUAAGACUGGGAUAACUUCGGGAAACCGGAGCUAAUACCGGAUAAUAUAUUGAACCGCAUGGUUCAAUAGUUAAAGACGGUUUUGCUGUCACUUUUAGAUGGAUCCGCGCCGCAUUAGCUAGUUGGUAAGGUAACGGCUUACCAAGGCGACGAUGCGUAGCCGACCUGAGAGGGUGAUCGGCCACACUGGAACUGAGACACGGUCCAGACUCCUACGGGAGGCAGCAGUAGGGAAUCUUCCGCAAUGGGCGAAAGCCUGACGGAGCAACGCCGCGUGAGUGAUGAAGGUCUUCGGAUCGUAAAACUCUGUUAUUAGGGAAGAAAAAAUGUGUAAGUAACUAUGCACGUCUUGACGGUACCUAAUCAGAAAGCCACGGCUAACUACGUG
Molecule: ribosomal RNA, 497 nt
Filed under: uncultured bacterium
Lineage: Bacteria
Description: partial 16S ribosomal RNA
Rfam family: Bacterial small subunit ribosomal RNA
Source: RNAcentral